ACUACGGGUGGCAGCAGUAGGGAAUUUUGCGCAACGGGCGAAAGCCUGACGCAGCAACGCCGCGUGAACGAGACGCCCUUCGGGGUGGAAAGUUCUGUCAGUGGGGACGAAAGAUGACGGUACCCACAGAGGAAGCAACGGCUAACUCAGUGCCAGCAGCCGCGGUAAUACGGAGGGUGCAAGCGUUGUCCGGAAUCAUUGGGCGUAACGAGUUCGUAGGCGGUAUGUUAAGUCUGGUGUUAAAUGCAGAAGCUCAACUUCUGUUCGGCACUGGAUACUGGCAAACUAGAAUUCGGUAGAGGUAAAUGGACUUCCUGGUGGAGCGGUGAAAUGCUUAGAUAGCAGGAGGAACAUCGGGGGCGUAAGCGCUUUACUGGGCCGUAAUUGACGCUGAGGAACGAAAGCCAGGGUAGCAAAUGGGAUUAGAUACCCGGGUAGUC
This 440-nucleotide ribosomal RNA is filed under the name uncultured bacterium. Its description in RNAcentral is "partial 16S ribosomal RNA". It matches the Rfam family "Bacterial small subunit ribosomal RNA", at positions 338 to 795 of the family's 1533-position model. The record is from RNAcentral.